This 107-nucleotide small nuclear RNA is filed under the name Theropithecus gelada (gelada). Lineage: Eukaryota; Metazoa; Chordata; Mammalia; Primates; Cercopithecidae. The record is from RNAcentral.
GUGCUCACUUCAGCAGCAUAUAUACUAAAAUUGGAAUGAUACAGAAAAGAUUAGCAUGGCCCCUGCGCAAGGAUGACAUAUACAUUUGUGAAGCAUUCUGUAUUUUU